This 28-nucleotide non-coding RNA is filed under the name Homo sapiens (human). The record is from RNAcentral. Lineage: Eukaryota; Metazoa; Chordata; Mammalia; Primates; Hominidae.
UAAUCCGGCCGGGCUCAGUAGCUCAUGC